UAUGGUGGAAUUAACUUAAGGUUUUAAUCUCAGUUUGCCCAGAUGCUUUUUUUUUCAUUUUCUUUAUUCAUUUCACUUGGCUAUGAGCUGAACAAAAAAUCUGGAAAAUGCAUUUUUUUCUUUUUGUUUAUGGAUUUGAGUCAUUUUGUUUGAACUUUCUUAAUCAGGUUGUCUCUGUUUUUGUUCACUCAUGAUAGUUGUUGAUCAUGACCGUGGGUUGCAUCAAGUACAGAAGGAGCCCUCUGUGUUUGGGAUUAGUUAUUUAAACUCUUGAUUGAUAGCUUGUUGAAUUCUUAAUAAGAGACCUGUUAUAUGUGUGAAGAUUAAAGCUAAAUAAUCAUUGACAGCUCAAGUUUUUAAAUAAUAUAUAUCAUUUCAAGCGUCAAGAAUAAUAAAGAACAACUAGGCCUGUCGCUGUGGCUGUGUUUCUUAAAGCUUUCGAAGCGACUUGGCGCGUGUUCGAGACUCCACUCUCACGUCCUUUGGGAACAAGGUGGAGAAGCUUUGGGAUCUUUCAAACAUUACUGUGAAUAAGCAAGCUGUGUUUGGUGACAACAGUUCUUUGGCUCCAGCAGGUGUUUGUAUUGGUAUGUUUUUCAUCACCCAUAUAUACAUGUACUUAAGUAAUGCUCACAGCGUAUUAUAGGAGAAGCUGAAUGAGGUUGGAUGACAAUGUAAAAUUCAAGAAAGAAAGCAUGUAAAAUAGGUCAAAUAAACAGAUAGAUGGGGUUCGAUGGAUUCGGCGGUCAAGCAAGUUAGAAAUGAGAUCAAGGGAUGGUCAGUUCCAAACACGGGUCCGAAUGGUGUUUUGGAGUAAGUUAGCAGUGCCUAAGAUACACUGCAUCCGGCUGCCAUGGCUUUAGCAACUAGAGGCCUGGCGUAUGGCGAUAGUACAUGCCCUAUGUGCGGUGUGGCAGACGAGACGGCUGACCAUCUAUUAGCCAACUGUAUGACUACCAACGCAGUUUGUUGGAUGGUGUGCGUUUGGGAUAAAUCCCGAUGCCCAGCAGCUUUGAAAUUGUGAAGACGUUACUCGAUCAUGCCCAUAAUGUUGGCAGAUCAACUAAGGAGAAAUAAUAACGGGAUGACCCACUUAGAUACUAAUAUGUUGGAAGAGUUAAGGAGCACUCAUACGGUUGGAUGGUGUAUAGGGCCAAAUGCCCCUUGCUUUGGAAAAUUGGACCCAGCUUUGAGUCUGUAGUGUCUAAUUAGCUUUGUGUAUUGGUUUUGCUUUGUUUGGGGUCUAUUGAAAUGGCUUAGCUGCUUGCUAAGUUUUGUCUUUGUUUGGUUAAUAAAGUUUCUCCUUUUGUUGGGCAAAAAAAAAAAAAA
Molecule: long non-coding RNA, 1329 nt
Organism: Helianthus annuus (common sunflower)
Lineage: Eukaryota; Viridiplantae; Streptophyta; Magnoliopsida; Asterales; Asteraceae
Exons: 2
Source: RefSeq, a predicted model, not a curated record